RNAcentral lists this ribosomal RNA (253 nucleotides) under uncultured bacterium. RNAcentral's name for it is "partial 16S ribosomal RNA". It matches the Rfam family "Bacterial small subunit ribosomal RNA", at positions 524 to 776 of the family's 1533-position model. The record is from RNAcentral.
UACGUAGGGGCCGAGCGUUGUCCGGAGUUAUUGGGCGUAAAGCGCGCGCAGGCGGCUUGGCGCGCCCGACGUGAAAGCCCCCGGCUUAACCGGGGAGAGUCGUCGGGGACGGCCGGGCUUGAGGGCGGGAGAGGGUGGUGGAAUUCCCGGUGUAGUGGUGAAAUGCGUAGAGAUCGGGAGGAACACCUGUGGCGAAGGCGGCCGACUGGGCCGACCCUGACGCUGAGGCGCGAAGGCGUGGGGAGCGAACGGG